CCUACGGGUGGCAGCAGUGAGGAAUAUUGGUCAAUGGGCGUAAGCCUGAACCAGCCAAGUCGCGUGAGGGAUGAAGGUUCUAUGGAUCGUAAACCUCUUUUAUAAGGGAAUAAAGUGCGGGACGUGUCCCGUUUUGUAUGUACCUUAUGAAUAAGGAUCGGCUAACUCCGUGCCAGCAGCGGCGGUAAUACGGAGGAUCCGAGCGUUAUUCGGAUUUAUUGGGUUUAAAGGGUGCGGAGGCGGCCUUUUAAGUCAGCGGUGAAAGUAUGUGGCUCAACCAUAGAAUUGCCGUUGAAACUGGGCGGCUUGAGUAUGUUUGAGGCAGGCGGAAUGCGUGGUGUAGCGGUGAAAUGCAUAGAGAUCACGCAGAACCCCGAUUGCGAAGGCAGCAUACCGGUGAACAACUGACGCUCAGGCACGAAAGCGUGGGUAUCGAACAGGAUUAGAUACCCCUGUAGUC
This 460-nucleotide ribosomal RNA is filed under the name uncultured bacterium. Its description in RNAcentral is "partial 16S ribosomal RNA". It matches the Rfam family "Bacterial small subunit ribosomal RNA", at positions 338 to 795 of the family's 1533-position model. The record is from RNAcentral.